RNAcentral lists this ribosomal RNA (242 nucleotides) under uncultured bacterium. RNAcentral describes it as "partial 16S ribosomal RNA". It matches the Rfam family "Bacterial small subunit ribosomal RNA", at positions 92 to 334 of the family's 1533-position model. The record is from RNAcentral.
CGACCGGCGCACGGGUGCGUAACGCGUAUGUAACCUACCUUUUACUGGGGGAUAGCCCGGAGAAAUUCGGAUUAACACCGCAUAAUAAGUUUGAGUGGCAUCACUUGGAUUUUAAAUAUUUAUAGGUAAGAGAUGGGCAUGCGUCCAAUUAGUUAGUUGGUGAGGUAACGGCUCACCAAGACGAUGAUUGGUAGGGGUUCUGAGAGGAAGGUCCCCCACACUGGUACUGAGAUACGGACCAG